UGGUUCUGGCAUCGAUGAAGAACGCAGCGAAAUGCGAUAAGUAAUGUGAAUUGCAGAAUUUUGUGAAUCAUCGAAUCUUUGAACGCACAUUGCACCUUUUGGUAUUCCGGAAGGUAUGCUUGUUCGAGCGUCGUUUAUAAAUUAUAUUGAUUUUUAUUUUUCAAUAAAGAUUGAUGUCUUGGAUUUUUUAUCUUGUAAAAAGAUAAUAUCCCAAAAGAAUUGACAGCGAUCUGGAAAGAUUUAUAUUGAAACGCAUUAAAGUCUUAAAACCACUACGUUACAAAUAAAAUCUCUCUGGAGCAGCCAAAUUAAAAAAAUGUUAUUAUUUUUUAAUAUCGACCUCGAAUCAAGUAAGAUUACCCGCUGA
This 367-nucleotide unclassified non-coding RNA is filed under the name uncultured fungus. RNAcentral's name for it is "partial contains 5.8S ribosomal RNA and internal transcribed spacer 2". The stretch from base 1 to 133 matches the Rfam family "5.8S ribosomal RNA", at positions 22 to 154 of the family's 154-position model. Lineage: Eukaryota; Fungi. The record is from RNAcentral.